AGGCGUUUAGCUUAUAAUAAAGCGUAUACUUUGAAAGUAUAAUAAAGAUACUUAUUUAAUGUCUU
Molecule: transfer RNA, 65 nt
Filed under: Eurhadina cuii
Lineage: Eukaryota; Metazoa; Arthropoda; Insecta; Hemiptera; Cicadellidae
Description: tRNA-Ser
Source: RNAcentral